This 301-nucleotide ribosomal RNA is filed under the name uncultured bacterium. RNAcentral describes it as "partial 16S ribosomal RNA". It matches the Rfam family "Bacterial small subunit ribosomal RNA", at positions 509 to 809 of the family's 1533-position model. The record is from RNAcentral.
CAGCAGCCACGGGAAUACGAAGGGGGCUAGCGUUGCUCGGAAUCACUGGGCGUAAAGGGUGCGUAGGCGGGUCUUUAAGUCAGGGGUGAAAUCCUGGAGCUCAACUCCAGAACUGCCUUUGAUACUGAAGAUCUUGAGUUCGGGAGAGGUGAGUGGAACUGCGAGUGUAGAGGUGAAAUUCGUAGAUAUUCGCAAGAACACCAGUGGCGAAGGCGGCUCACUGGCCCGAUACUGACGCUGAGGCACGAAAGCGUGGGGAGCAAACAGGAUUAGAGACCCCUGUAGUCCCUGUCUCUUAUAA